UUUUUGAUAAUAAUUUAAAGUAGGGCCUGCCCACUGAAGAUUUAAAGGGCCGCAGUAUUUUGACUGUGCAAAGGUAGCAUAAUCAUUAGUUUUUUAAUUGAAAGCUUGUAUGAAUGGUUUGAUGAGAAAAUAACUUUCUAUAUUUAAAUUUUUAUGAAUUUUAUUUUUAAGUUAAAAAGCUUAAAUUUUUUUAAUAGACGAGAAGACCCUAUAGAGUUUUAUUAUGAUAAAUUUUUAUAUUUUUAGAAUUAAUUAAUUUUAAUUUUUAUUAUAAUUUGAUUGGGGUGAUUAAAAAAUUUAAUGAACUUUUUUUAUUUUAAUACAUAAAUUUAUGAAUAAUUGAUCCAUUUAAAUGAUUAAAAGAACAAAUUACCUUAGGGAUAACAGCGUAAUUUUUUUUUAGAGUUCAAAUCGAAAAAAGAGAUUGCGACCUCGAUGUUGGAUUAAAGUUAAUUUUAGGUGUAGAAGCUUAAAAAUUUGGUCUGUUCGACCAUUAAAACUUUACA
This 506-nucleotide ribosomal RNA is filed under the name Lioadalia flavomaculata. Its description in RNAcentral is "partial large subunit ribosomal RNA". It matches the Rfam family "Bacterial large subunit ribosomal RNA", at positions 1826 to 2600 of the family's 2925-position model. Lineage: Eukaryota; Metazoa; Arthropoda; Insecta; Coleoptera; Coccinellidae. The record is from RNAcentral.